This is an RNA transcript of Patella vulgata (common limpet), 866 nucleotides long. RefSeq lists it as uncharacterized. The record is from RefSeq and is a predicted model, not a curated record. The transcript is spliced from 7 exons. Lineage: Eukaryota; Metazoa; Mollusca; Gastropoda; Patellidae.
AGUUUUUGACAUGAAUACACCACCAAUGAUAGGACCCGUAACAGCCAUAGUAGAAACAAAGAAACUAUCAACAUCAAUACGACUUCAAAGGGCCACACCAAGAGAUCUCUAUAUCAAGUUUUCUUCUUCACGAAAGGGAGAUUUUAAAAAUCUAGAUCUUGAUGGAACUCCUAGAAGUACAGCAAGAAAUGAAUAUGUUGGUCUUACGUUUGACUAUCAUAGGAACAUGUAUUAUGUUAUCAACAGAAGAAGAAAUGGUGAAGCCAGUAUCUUGGGAUUCUAUGCAUCUGGAAUAAACCCAGAACCAAUCCAACUUUACACAGGAUUAUCAUCGACUGUAAGAAGUAUAGCGAUGGAUUGGGUGAAUGGUGUUUUAUAUUGGGCGGAUCCGACAGCAAAAGUUAUAAUGAAAACACCCGUUGAGCCUAAAUGUUUAGCCCAGGAUUCAGCCCGAGCUAUCAUUGGUGGUUUGAGCUAUCCAAUUGGAGUUGCAGUUUAUCCCGAUAAAGGAUAUGUUUACUGGACUGACGCUGGUAUUAACAGAAGAAUAGAAAGAUCAGACCUAGAUGGUAAAUAUCGCCGACAGAUCAUCACCAACGUACGCAACCCACGAGCUAUCACUAUUGAUUAUGACAAGGACAGAAUAUAUUGGAUUGAUAAUAGAGAUUAUAACUGUAUUUUGGAAUCAGCAGAUUUGGAUGGUAAUGGGAGAAGACUUCUAGUUAACGUUAUGGACAGUAACUUGUUUGAUCUAGACAUCUUACAGAAUUAUAUCAUUGCUACAGAUGUAAAGAAAAGUCGAGUAUAUCUGUACAGUUUAGCGUAUAGAAGGUUGAUAUGGAAGGAUUGGAUUGGAAAACCUCUUG